GUGGAUUAGAUACUCUGGUAGUCCACGCCGUAAACGAUGAAUGCUAGCCGUUGUCAGGCUUGCCUGUCAGUGGCGCAGCUAACGCAUUAAGCAUUCCGCCUGGGGAGUACGGUCGCAAGAUUAAAACUCAAAGGAAUUGACGGGGGCCCGCACAAGCGGUGGAGCAUGUGGUUCAAUUCGAAGCAACGCGAAGAACCUUACCAGCCCUUGACAUGUCCUCUAUGGAUUCCAGAGACGGAGUCCUUCACUUCGGGUGGGAGGAACACAGGUGCUGCACGGCCGUCGACAGCU
RNAcentral lists this ribosomal RNA (291 nucleotides) under uncultured bacterium. Its description in RNAcentral is "partial 16S ribosomal RNA". It matches the Rfam family "Bacterial small subunit ribosomal RNA", at positions 773 to 1060 of the family's 1533-position model. The record is from RNAcentral.